AUGAACGCUGGCGGCGUGCCUAAUACCUGCAAGUCGAGCGCACAGACGAGGAGCUUGCUCCUUCGACGUUAGCGGCGGACGGGUGAGUAACACGUAGGUAACCUACCUAUAAGACUGGGAUAACUUCGGGAAACCGGAGCUAAUACCGGAUAAUAUUUCGAACCGCAUGGUUCGAUAGUGAAAGAUGGCUUUGCUAUCACUUAUAGAUGGACCUGCGCCGUAUUAGCUAGUUGGUAAGGUAACGGCUUACCAAGGCAACGAUACGUAGCCGACCUGAGAGGGUGAUCGGCCACACUGGAACUGAGACACGGUCCAGACUCCUACGGGAGGCAGCAGUAGGGAAUCUUCCGCAAUGGGCGAAAGCCUGACGGAGCAACGCCGCGUGAGUGAUGAAGGUCUUCGGAUCGUAAAACUCUGUUAUUAGGGAAGAACAAACGUGUAAGUAACUGUGCACGUCUUGACGGUACCUAAUCAGAAAGCCACGGCUAACUACGUG
RNAcentral lists this ribosomal RNA (496 nucleotides) under uncultured bacterium. Its description in RNAcentral is "partial 16S ribosomal RNA". It matches the Rfam family "Bacterial small subunit ribosomal RNA", at positions 29 to 507 of the family's 1533-position model. The record is from RNAcentral.